Molecule: small RNA, 78 nt
Filed under: Salmonella enterica subsp. enterica serovar Heidelberg
Lineage: Bacteria; Pseudomonadati; Pseudomonadota; Gammaproteobacteria; Enterobacterales; Enterobacteriaceae
Also listed under: 6 other names
Description: partial RtT sRNA
Rfam family: RtT RNA
About the family: This family represents a bacterial cis-regulatory element known as RtT RNA. The exact function of RtT is unknown although it is thought that it may be involved in changing the cellular response in relation to amino acid starvation.
Source: RNAcentral
AUAUCUCUCCGUACGGGAAGGAUGAGAAGCUUCGACUAAGGUUCGAUUCGAGCGCAGCGAGAACGCGUUGCCGCAGGC